AGGGAAUCUUCCGCAAUGGACGAAAGUCUGACGGAGCAACGCCGCGUGAGUGAUGAAGGUUUUCGGAUCGUAAAGCUCUGUUGCCAGGGAAGAACGUCCUGUAGAGUAACUGCUACAGGAGUGACGGUACCUGAGAAGAAAGCCCCGGCUAACUACGUGCCAGCAGCCGCGGUAAUACGUAGGGGGCAAGCGUUGUCCGGAAUUAUUGGGCGUAAAGCGCGCGCAGGCGGCUGUUUAAGUCUGGUGUUUAAUCCUGGGGCUCAACCCCGGGUCGCACUGGAAACUGGACAGCUUGAGUGCAGAAGAGGAGAGUGGAAUUCCACGUGUAGCGGCGAAAUGCGUAGAGAUGUGGAGGAACACCAGUGGCGAAGGCGACUCUCUGGUCUGUAACUGACGCUGAGGCGCGAAAGCGUGGGGAGCAAAC
This 424-nucleotide ribosomal RNA is filed under the name uncultured bacterium. RNAcentral's name for it is "bacterial SSU rRNA". It matches the Rfam family "Bacterial small subunit ribosomal RNA", at positions 356 to 773 of the family's 1533-position model. The record is from RNAcentral.